RNAcentral lists this ribosomal RNA (446 nucleotides) under uncultured bacterium. Its description in RNAcentral is "partial 16S ribosomal RNA". It matches the Rfam family "Bacterial small subunit ribosomal RNA", at positions 338 to 795 of the family's 1533-position model. The record is from RNAcentral.
CCUACGGGUGGCUGCAGUCGAGAAUCAUUCACAAUGGGGGAAACCCUGAUGGUGCGACGCCGCGUGGGGGAAUGAAGGUCUUCGGAUUGUAAACCCCUGUCAUGUGGGAGCAAAUUAAAAAGAUAGUACCACAAGAGGAAGAGACGGCUAACUCUGUGCCAGCAGCCGCGGUAAUACAGAGGUCUCAAGCGUUGUUCGGAAUCACUGGGCGUAAGGCGUGCGUAGGCUGUUUCGUAAGUCGUGUGUGAAAGGCGCGGGCUCAACCCGCGGACGGCACAUGAUACUGCGAGACUAGAGUAAUGGAGGGGGAACCGGAAUUCUCGGUGUAGCAGUAAAAUGCGUAGAUAUCGAGAGGAACACUCGUGGCGAAGGCGAGUUCCUGGACAUUAACUGACGCUGAGGCACGAAGGCCAGGGGAGCGAAAGGGAUUAGAUACCCUGGUAGUC